GACGAACGCCGGCGGCGUGCUUAACACAUGCAAGUCGAACGGAAAGGCCCUGCUUUUGUGGGGUGCUCGAGUGGCGAACGGGUGAGUAACACGUGAGUAACCUGCCCUUGACUUUGGGAUAACUUCAGGAAACUGGGGCUAAUACCGGAUAGGAGCUCCUGCUGCAUGGUGGGGGUUGGAAAGUUUCGGCGGUUGGGGAUGGACUCGCGGCUUAUCAGCUUGUUGGUGGGGUAGUGGCUUACCAAGGCUUUGACGGGUAGCCGGCCUGAGAGGGUGACCGGCCACAUUGGGACUGAGAUACGGCCCAGACUCCUACGGGAGGCAGCAGUGGGGAAUAUUGCACAGUGGGCGGAAGCCUGAUGCGGCAACGCCGCGUGCGGGAUGACGGCCUUCGGGUUGUAAACCGCUUUCGCCUGUGACGAAGCGUGAGUGACGGUAAUGGGUAAAGAAGCACCGGCUAACUACGUG
This 468-nucleotide ribosomal RNA is filed under the name uncultured bacterium. RNAcentral's name for it is "partial 16S ribosomal RNA". It matches the Rfam family "Bacterial small subunit ribosomal RNA", at positions 28 to 507 of the family's 1533-position model. The record is from RNAcentral.